This 230-nucleotide long non-coding RNA is filed under the name Elaeis guineensis (African oil palm). RNAcentral's name for it is "long non-coding RNA (EGUI_LNC074999)". The record is from RNAcentral. Lineage: Eukaryota; Viridiplantae; Streptophyta; Magnoliopsida; Arecales; Arecaceae.
CCAGAGAAGGGAGACCAUGAAUGCCAGAAUAGCUUUCUCCUUCAUACUUAAAAAAGAGCUUGAGAGAAGAGUUAACUAUUGAUGGUGCCUUUGGAGCACCAUCCAUGAACCCAAACGAUAUAGAUAGAAAAGGAGUACAGAAGAAUAAGAAAAGCUCUCUAUCUUUUUAAACUUCAAUGGAGUACGGGAAGAUCGAUCAUUCUUUCGUGCAAAAGAUACAACCCACACCC